CUCCUACGGGAGGCAGCAGUAAGGAGUAUUGGUCAAUGGACGCAAGUCUGAACCAGCCAUGCCGCGUGCAGGAUGAAGGUCCUACGGAUCGUAAACUGCUUUUGUACGGGAAAAAAACCCCGGGUUUCUACCCGGGUUGAUGGUACCGUAAGAAUAAGGAUCGGCUAACUCCGUGCCAGCAGCCGCGUAUC
RNAcentral lists this ribosomal RNA (191 nucleotides) under uncultured bacterium. Its description in RNAcentral is "partial 16S ribosomal RNA". It matches the Rfam family "Bacterial small subunit ribosomal RNA", at positions 336 to 523 of the family's 1533-position model. The record is from RNAcentral.